AGCUGGCGUCUUCCUUCCACUGUCACAGGAUGUCUCCUAAGCUAAGGAAUUCAGUCAGUAUGGCUUCUAACUCUCACUAUGAUAUUGCCAAGCUGGGGACUCACACUGUACUGCAAAAUAAUGGAAGCUGUAUAUUCAUCCAGGAUGUGCAAUUCAGCAGCCCAGAGCUGGACUGGAGCACGGACUUGCUUCCCUGCCCUUUCAUUCCCAUGCAUUGGCUGGUGGUUAAAAAAAAAACAAACAAGAAACAAAAAAACCACCCUCAACACCCAUCGAAAGACCACUGGCUCACAACACUGCUCUUC
This is a long non-coding RNA of Falco peregrinus (peregrine falcon), 305 nucleotides long. RefSeq lists it as uncharacterized. Lineage: Eukaryota; Metazoa; Chordata; Aves; Falconiformes; Falconidae. The transcript has 3 exons. The record is from RefSeq and is a predicted model, not a curated record.